This 497-nucleotide ribosomal RNA is filed under the name uncultured bacterium. RNAcentral's name for it is "partial 16S ribosomal RNA". It matches the Rfam family "Bacterial small subunit ribosomal RNA", at positions 28 to 507 of the family's 1533-position model. The record is from RNAcentral.
GACGAACGCUGGCGGCGUGCCUAAUACAUGCAAGUAGAACGCUGAAGAGAGGAGCUUACUCUUCUUGGAUGAGUUGCGAACGGGUGAGUAACGCGUAGGUAACCUGCCUUGUAGCGGGGGAUAACUAUUGGAAACGAUAGCUAAUACCGCACAACAAUGGAUGACACAUGUCAUUUAUUUGAAAGGGGCAAUUGCUCCACUACAAGAUGGGCCUGCGUUGUAUUAGCUAGUAGGUGAGGUAAUGGCUCACCUAGGCGACGAUACAUAGCCGACCUGAGAGGGUGAUCGGCCACACUGGGACUGAGACCCGGCCCAGACUCCUACGGGAGGCAGCAGUAGGGAAUCUUCGGCAAUGGGGGCAACCCUGACCGAGCAACGCCGCGUGAGUGAAGAAGGUUUUCGGAUCGUAAAGCUCUGUUGUAAGUCAAGAACGGGUGUGAGAGUGGAAAGUUCACACUGUGACGGUAGCUUACCAGAAAGGGACGGCUAACUACGUG